RNAcentral lists this ribosomal RNA (274 nucleotides) under uncultured bacterium. RNAcentral describes it as "partial 16S ribosomal RNA". It matches the Rfam family "Bacterial small subunit ribosomal RNA", at positions 523 to 796 of the family's 1533-position model. The record is from RNAcentral.
AUACGGAGGGUGCAAGCGUUACUCGGAAUCACUGGGCGUAAAGCGCGCGCAGGCGGCUAUUUAAGUUGGAUGUGAACGCCUACGGCUCAACCGUAGAACUGCAUCCAAAACUAUUUAGCUAGAGUGUGGGAGAGGAAGAUGGAAUUAGUUGUGUAGGGGUAAAAUCCGUAGAGAUAACUAGGAAUACCAAAAGCGAAGGCAAUCUUCUGGAACACUACUGACGCUGAGGCGCGAAAGCGUGGGGAGCAAACAGGAUUAGAAACCCUAGUAGUCC